UCCCUGGAGGACUAUUGGUUAGGCCUUGGGGGUUUCACUGCCAUGGCCCGGGUUCGAUUCCCAGCCAGGGAA
Molecule: non-coding RNA, 72 nt
Organism: Pangasius djambal
Lineage: Eukaryota; Metazoa; Chordata; Actinopteri; Siluriformes; Pangasiidae
Source: the annotation of a GenBank genome assembly